UUAACUUUUAUUUAUACAAAAUCAGACAAAUAUCAUUAUGAAUAAUAGUUUAAUAUUUUUGUUCUAUGGAAUAUUUUACUAAUUCCAUCAUCCAAUAACAGGUAAAAGUACACAGAAGGGUUUAAAGGGUCAAUUUACAUUUUAAUGAUCCUUCCGCAGGUUCACCUACGGAAA
This 174-nucleotide unclassified non-coding RNA is filed under the name uncultured fungus. RNAcentral describes it as "sequence contains ITS1". The record is from RNAcentral. Lineage: Eukaryota; Fungi.